GGAAACGCUACCUGAUAAAGCCCUGGAACCAAAGACCACCAGGAAUACGUCUGUAAUUAAACAAAUUUGAUUCAUUACCUCACUGCGGCAAAGAAGGACGUACCAGAGGAAACGUGAAGCAUCUUGUUGCAUUUGUAAUCAAGGAUGGAGUCAACCAAUGCCGCUUGAGCAGACAUACCAGCAUAACCUCAAAAAUAGUAAGAAACACUAACCAAAUGAGAGUUUUGUUUAAAUUAAAAAUUAAGGACGUUGACUCUAAUAGAGGCUACAACUACAAGAUGAAAAACCUGACGCUCAGAAUGAUGGAUUAUUACCAAAAGGUGGAGACAGAAAAUAUAUAAAUAUUGAAGAUGAUUUCAGAUGGCAAAAAGCACAGUAAAGAACGUUAGAGAUUGGAUAGGCUGGAGGACUCCUCGUGAAGAUGACAUACGAGGUUUCUCCAUAGGAAGACAAGGAAGAGAUAUUAGUCACAACAAAUGUUUUCCUGUAUGUUUUCUGUGAAUAAUAUAGAAUUGCUAUCCAGCAAACGUGACUACCUACAACUUACCAGGUUAACCUCCUUACACUCUGGACCACCAAGGAAGUCUGUCUCCUGAAAACACCUCUGCAUGUCUUGGAAGCACAAAUAAGGAAGAUUCGUUUUUUUGAGGAAGAUUAGCCUUGAGCUAACAUCUGCUGCCAAUCCUCCUCUUCUCACUGAGGAAGACUGGCCCUGAGCUCACAUCCGUGCCCAUGUUCCUCUACUUUCUACGUGGGACGCCUACCACAGCGUGGCUUGCCAAGUGGUGCCAUGUCCGCACCCGGGAUCCAAACUGGUGAACCCUGGGCCUCUGAAGUGGACCGUGCACAUUUAACCGCUGGCCACCAGGCCAGACCCGUUGUCAACAGAUUCUAAUGAAAGCAAGAUUGCAAAACACCUUGAUAAAACAUGGUCAUCCAUUCCAUAGUAAAAUGUUUCUUUUUUGCUGCUAAUCUAUUUUAAAAAACAGAAUUUUAAGUAAGCACUUUAUUUUUCUUUUGUCUUUUAAGUUACAGAACAAAUUAUGUAUUUGAAAGAGUAAAAUUUGUAUACUUCUAGUAUUAAUG
RNAcentral lists this long non-coding RNA (1086 nucleotides) under Equus caballus (horse). Its description in RNAcentral is "lncRNA (ENSECAG00000048762.1)". Lineage: Eukaryota; Metazoa; Chordata; Mammalia; Perissodactyla; Equidae. The record is from RNAcentral.